Molecule: ribosomal RNA, 450 nt
Filed under: uncultured bacterium
Lineage: Bacteria
Description: bacterial SSU rRNA
Rfam family: Bacterial small subunit ribosomal RNA
Source: RNAcentral
ACUCCUACGGGAGGCAGCAGUGGGGAAUAUUGCACAAUGGGCGCAAGCCUGAUGCAGCCAUGCCGCGUGUGUGAAGAAGGCCUUCGGGUUGUAAAGCUCUUUCAGCGAGGAGGAUAAUGACGUUACUCGCAGAAGAAGCCCCGGCUAACUUCGUGCCAGCAGCCGCGGUAAUACGAAGGGGGCUAGCGUUGUUCGGAAUCACUGGGCGUAAAGCGCACGUAGGCGGACUUUUAAGUCAGGGGUGAAAUCCCGGGGCUCAACCCUGGAACUGCCUUUGAUACUGGAAGUCUUGAGUCCGAGAGAGGUGAGUGGAAUUCCGAGUGUAGAGGUGAAAUUCGUAGAUAUUCGGAGGAACACCAGUGGCGAAGGCGGCUCACUGGCUCGGUACUGACGCUGAGGUGCGAAAGCGUGGGGGAGCAAACAGGAUUAGAUACCCUGGUAGGCUCUGCU